UGGCGAUGAGGAGGUACCUAUUGUGUUGAGUA
Molecule: non-coding RNA, 32 nt
Filed under: Homo sapiens (human)
Lineage: Eukaryota; Metazoa; Chordata; Mammalia; Primates; Hominidae
Source: RNAcentral